AUUGAACGCUGGCGGCAGGCCUAACACAUGCAAGUCGAACGAGUGGCGGACGGGUGAGUAAUGUAUGGGAAACUGCCCGAUGGAGGGGGGUAACUACUGGAAACGGUAGCUAAUACCGCAUACAAUCGGAUGUGCCCAGAUGGGAUUAGCUAGUAGUUGGAGGAACGGGUAACCUAGGCGACGAUCCCUAUCUGGUCUGAGAGGAUGACCAGCCACACGGGAAUUGAGACACGGGCCAGACUCGUACGGGAGGCAGCAGUGGGGAAUAUUGCACAAUGGGCGAAAGCCGAAUGCAGCCAGGCGGCGUGUAUGAAGAAGGCCUUCGGGUUGUAAAGUACUGUCAGCGAGGAGGCGUUACGCGCAGAAGCAGCACCGGCUAACUCCGGGCCAGCAGCCGCGGUAAUUC
RNAcentral lists this ribosomal RNA (406 nucleotides) under uncultured bacterium. RNAcentral's name for it is "partial 16S ribosomal RNA". It matches the Rfam family "Bacterial small subunit ribosomal RNA", at positions 29 to 526 of the family's 1533-position model. The record is from RNAcentral.